RNAcentral lists this long non-coding RNA (1357 nucleotides) under Zonotrichia albicollis (white-throated sparrow). RNAcentral describes it as "lncRNA (ENSZALG00000000050.1)". Lineage: Eukaryota; Metazoa; Chordata; Aves; Passeriformes; Passerellidae. The record is from RNAcentral.
AUCGAAGAUCAGCCGGCCUGGACAGGUGAGGGACAGGUGAGCAUGGACAGGUGAGAAUGGACAGGUGAGCAUGGACAGGUGAGAAUGGACAGGUGUGGGACAGGUGAGAUAUGGACAGGUGUGGGACAGGUGAGAUGGGACAGGUGAGAUAAGUGUCUCAUGUGUUCCAUACCUGUUCCUAUACCUGUGCCAGGUGUACCCAGGUGUGCCCAGGUGUGUCUCACCUGUCCCAUACCUGUCUCAGGUGUGCCCAGGUGUGCCCAAGUGUGCCCAGGUGUGUCCCAUACCUGUCCAGGAGUGCCCAGGUGUGCCCAGGUGUGUCUCAGGUGUACCCAGGUGUGCCCAGGUGUGCCCCAUACCUAUCUCAGGUGUACCCAGGUGUAACUCAGGUGUGCCCAGGUGUGCCCAGGUGUGUCUCAGGUGUACCCAGGUGUGUCCCAUACCUAUCCAGGUAUGCCCAGGUGUACCCAGGUGUGCCCAGGUGUGUGUCUCACCUGUCUCAGGUGUACCCAGGUGUACCCAGGUGUACCCAGGUGUGUCCCAUACCUAUCCAGGUGUGCCCAGGUGUGCCCAGGUGUGCCCAGGUGUGUCCCAUACCUAUCCAGGUGUGCCCAGGUGUGCCCAGGUGUGUUCCUCACCUUGCUCCACCCCCGUGACGAUCGAUGCAAAGUUGUCAUCGAGCAGGAUCACCUGUCCCACACCUAUCCCAUACCUAUCCAGGUGUGCCCAGGUGUGCCCAGGUGUGCCCAGGUGUGUGUCUCACCUGUCCAGGUGUGCCCAGGUGUAUCUCAGAUGUGCCCAGGUGUGCCCAGGUGUGCCCAGGUGUGCCCAGGUGUAUCUCAGCUGUGUGUCUCACCUGUCCCAGGUGUGCCCAGGUGUACCCAGGUGUACCCAGGUGUACCCAGGUGUGUCUCACCUGUCCCAUACCUGUCUCAGGUGUGCCCAGGUGUGCCCAGGUGUGUCCCAUACCUAUCCAGGUGUGCCCAGGUGUAUCUCAGGUGUACCCAGGUGUGCCCAGGUGUGUCCCAUGCCUGUCCAGGUGUACCCAGGUGUGCCCAGGUGUAUCUCAGCUGUGUGUCUCACCUGUCCCAGGUGUGCCCAGGUGUACCCAGGUGUACCCAGGUGUGCCCAGGUGUGUCCCAUACCUAUCCAGGUGUGCCCAGGUGUGUCUCACCUGUCCCAUACCUAUCUCAGGUGUGCCCAGGUGUGUCUCAGGUGUGCCCAGGUGUGCCCAGGUGUGUGUCCCAUGCCUGUCCAGGUGUACCCAGGUGUGCCCAGGUGGAGCCCCAGCAUCUCCAGGUGUACCCAGGUGUGCCCAGGUGUAUCUCAGGUGUGCCCAGGUGUAUCUCAGGUGUGU